Non-coding RNA from Equus caballus (horse), 6322 nucleotides. NCBI's taxonomy places the organism in Eukaryota, Metazoa, Chordata, Mammalia, Perissodactyla, Equidae. The record is from RefSeq and is a predicted model, not a curated record.
UAAUGUACACCUGAAAUUACAUGAUGUUAUAAACCAUUAUGACCUCAAUUUAAAAAAAAGUCAAAGUCAUAGAAACAGAGACCAUAAAAAUGAUCCCAGGGGGUUUGGGAGUGUGGGAAAUAGGGGAAGUGGGUGAAAGGGCCAAACUUUCAGCUAUAACAGGACCAAGGUCGGAGGAUCUAAUGUAAGAAGCAGUGAGUAUAGCUGAUAACACUGUAUUGUAAAAUGGAAAUUUGCUAAGGGAAUAGAACUUAAAUGUUCUCACACAAAAAAAAGAUAAAUAGGUGAUGGAUGUGUUAACUUGUUGUGGGAAUCCUUUUAUGAUGUACACAGGUAUCAAAUCACCAGCAUAUCAUGUGCACUCUAAUAUCAGAGAAUUUUAUGUCAAUUUUAACUCAAUGCUUAGAUUGAAAAAUAAAAUAAAAUAAAAAUUUUAAUGUAAAUACAAUAAAAACGUUAAAAAAGUCAAAUCCCCUGACAUGCCUUUCUUGAUCAAAUUAAAAAAUAUCAAAUCUAUUUCAUACUUCCUAUUUUUAAAUAAUCUCCAAGAGAAAAUCCCAAACCCUGACAGACUUACAGAAAGAGGGUUCCAUGAAUCAGUCAGUGAAGGGAUGUAUCCAAACUUAUUCGGAAUCUUUCAGAGAUUCCUGUUCCCCAGCUCAUUGUACGGUGCUAGAAGAGCGUUGUUGUAAAACUUGUUAAUUAUUUUCAACUAUGCUUACAGACUGUAAUACAAGUUGAAAGCAUCUCAGGAUUUCAAGAGUGGUUUAUUAUUGGAAAUACAUUAAUAGCACUCAACAUAUUAACUGUAAAAAAGUCACGUGACUAAAAAAAAAGAAAAAGUAAAAUACAAAGCCAUUCACAAUAGAAACACCAGACCAUGCAUAGGAAGAUACACCCUUAACUAGUUGAAGUUUAUCGAUGAAAACACUACAAUAAACCUGAAUUUUCAUAAGAAGAUAUCAGAAAUUUUGUGUUUUAGAUUAGCAACCAAACAAGGCUGUCAUUAUUAGUGCUUAAAUUAAAUAUCAUACCAGACAUUCUCGCUGGGGCUAUGACACAGACAAAAAAGAAUUACACUAAUUGGAAUACCAUUUAUAGACCUAUAAUUUCUCUCAAAUUGUAUGAUUAUCUACAUAGAAGAUUUUCAAAAACUAAUGUCAUGAAUAUCUGGUGUAGUUAUGCUGGUUCCUGAAGUUUGCCACAUAUAAAAUAAGUAUCCAAAAAUAAAUUACACUUCCACAAAUGAGAAUCAUAAGGCCAAAAAGGAAAUUAAAAAGAAAAUUAUUUGCCUUAUAACCAAAGAAAGAUUACUGAUACUCAGGAUAAAAUUAACAAAAUGUUUGUGUGGUGGAGACUGCAAAUUUUCUGCUAACGUUGCUUCUCCCCUUCCUGGGCCUGAGCCUGCCCACUCACAUUCCCGUCUUUCCUUCUGGCUGGGUUGUGAGAUUUCCACUGUGGGUGGAGUAGGAUCAAAGGGAACAUGCCUGUACCCAUCCCUGGAUCUCAGGGUGUUGGCCUGGCCUCCCCCACACUCUCAGCUGAAAGCCAUCUGACACGCUGCCCAGCACCCUGCCCCAGAGUCCAGCCGAGCAGCAGCACCAAAAUGCUUGUCAAGCGAGUGCCCUGUCUUGAAAGUGGAUUCUUUAUCAGCUAUCAGUCUUUCCCAGCUCAUGCCACUUGGACUGGCCAGAGUCAUCCCAAGGCAACAUCUGCAAAACACAGGAAAUCCUCAUUAUUGGUAAACACAGAGCCAGUGAAAAUUGUCACUGAACCAAGGGGUUGGGGACUCCUGUCCAGGAUUAGCAAUCACUAGUUCUGUGUCCUGAUGUGCACAGAUCACUGUUGUCGUCUAGUGUCUCCAUAUAUGUGACUAGGAACUGGCCAACGCAUAGUAUUUAACCAUUCAUUCAUCUCUUGAAUAAAUGUGAUCACUGCCUGGCAGCUUUAUUCUAUACUAGUCAAAUCUGGACACACACCAAAUCUCCUGAAAUAGGUAAAUGGAUAAACAAAAUGUGCUAUGUCCAUAGAACGAGAUACUACUCGGCAACAAUAAGCAGUUAACUAUUGCUAAAUGCCACAGAAUGGAGGAAUCUCAGGAACAUCAUGCUGAGUAAAAUAAGCCAAACACACGGUAUGUAUUCCAUGUAUAUAGCAUGUUUGAAAAGGUAACAGAAACCUAUUGACAGAAAUCAAAUCAGUGGUCAUCUGGGCUGGGGGAGACUGACAGCAGCGGGAUACGAGGAAUGUUGAGGGAGACGGGAAGGUUCUGUGUUUUGAUUAUGGUGGUGGCUGCGCAAGUGCAAACAUUUAUCGCAACUCAAUGAACUGUGUGCUUCAAAUGGGUGCACUUUAUUGUUUCUAAAUCUUGCUUCAAUGAAGUGGGAGAAAACUCUUAGUUUGUUUAAACGGUCACCAGAACUAACAGCCUAACCUUCUCAUUGUCCACAAUGGGACUCAGUCACAGAGAGGGCUACCUCUGUGUGGGAGAGAGGGGAAGGGACUUGCCCAAGGUCACACAAAGUGGAAGUGUCAGGCCUGAGACCAGAAUGCAGAUCUCCUGACACCCAAGCAGGGUUUCUCUCACACUCCUGCCUCCCAGGUGAAGCCUGUGUCUGCCUUCCCUGAGCAAACAUGGGCACAUCCUCCAAAGACAGGUCCUGGGUCAGGGGCCACAGGGCAUGGUUCACUCUCACCUCCAGGUGACCAUAAUACCUGAUCUGCUGGUUGACUUGUCCAGUAGUUUGCAUCGUGAGGAUAAGCUUGGCCUGCCAGGGUGGGGACGGAAGGAGAGUCGCCCCCCAAGGCUGGUCUCUGCAGGGGCUGAGAGACAGAGACCCUGAGUGUCUUCAAGGAAGCCUGAGGGGCACUGAAAAGAGUCAGGAGAGUUCAGAUAUCCUGAUUUCUCCAGGUUAGAAUUUUUCUUUUCUCUUGAAUUCUCAAGGAGAGAACCUCACCUGUCAGGUAAGUUCUUCAUUUUCUUCAGCUCAUUGGACCAUGACAGGUCCCCAGAGGGAAAAGUGAGUUGUGAAAGAAUUUACAAAGAGAGGGUGGGACGUCCACUUGUCCUUGGAGGAGGCUAGGAAUUAGGCGAGUGAAAGAAUUCAUUACUUUUGCUGUUGUCUAUUGUUGCAAAAAAACAUGACACCAAACAUUAGCGGUUUAAAAUAUCAAACAAUGCCUUAGCUCUCAUAAUUUUGGGGUCAGGAAAUUGAACAGGGCUCAGCUGGGUGAGCCUGCUCUUCCCCGUGGCAUCAAUGGCAAUCACUUGGCGAUACUCGGGUGCUGUGUGGGUUGGUUUAGAAUGUCUGGGAUGACUUCACUCACGUUGCUGUGCCUUCUCAUAGAUGGCUGGAAGGCUGGGCUCAGUGGGAACUUUCAACCAGGGCACUUACACAUGGGUAGACUUCUUACACGGCAGCCCAGGGUGUUUCAAGAGACCCACACAGAAACUGCAAACUCUCUGUCUUGUUCUCAGAAAUUAAGAAAAAAAAUCCAUCCACCAAUUCUUUUGGUCAAGCAAGUCAUCCACUUUCAGGCUGAGAUGAAAUAGACUCACUUUUCAGUGGGAGGAACAGCAAAGAAUUUGCUGUCUUCCUUCAUAUGCCACAAACACCUCCUGGGAGCUCUGUGGCCACGGGGACGCUGUGAUGCACGGCCCAGGGACCAGUUGGGUAGGAAGACAAACAAUCAUAACAUGGUGCCGCAAUAAGUGAGGGAGAUGUGAAUGUUAUGGGAACAACGAGGGCAGAGCAAGGGUUAGUGAAGCCGUGGGUGAUAGAGAAGGAUUCUCAGCAGUAACCUGGAGGAGAGGUGAGAGGUCCUCAGGGAAGAGUCUAGGGCAGGCCCUAUUUCAUCACACUUGCCUUUCUCCAGCAUGUGAGGUCCAUGGGAGCAGAGGCUCUGUGUCUCUUCUCUCCACAGCUGCAGCCACGGAACUUCACAAGGGUGUCAUUUGUUCACGAAGCGUUAGUGGGAGGAGAUGAGGGGAUAUGAAAAUGCACGCAAGUGCAGACACAGACUAUUCAGGGAAGGCGAGCAGAGACAGGAGGCUGAAGGUUUCUGUGCGUGGAGAGGGUGGUAAGAGGUGAGGCUGCAGACGGAAGCUUAACACCAUGUCUCACCAUUUAAAAAUGAAUAGAAUAACUCAUUCACGACACUUUCAAUUGAAGGUAAGAUGUUCAUAGUACGAUAUGACAGUUAAAUAGGACACUAUACAUCUACCUACUAUGGUUUAAUAAGGAGUAAAAUGUGCAUUCAACCUGAGGAGUAUUUUUCACUUGCUUGUGUGAUUUUCACAGGAAUGUGAGCUGCCCUGGCCACAGCCUUCCCACCCUCAGUUGAGGCCAACUUCACCCUUCCAGUUGCUGAGCCCACAAACCAGGGACCAUCCUUGAUUCAUUCUUGCUCUCACUCCCCACAUCCAGUCCUACACACGUCCUGCUGGCUCUGUCCGCACAAUGUAUCUGCAGUGGGACCACUUUGCACCACUGUCUCUGUGACCAGCCUGGACAGAGCCACCAUCUUGUCUUCUGUGGGUUUGCUCAUCGGUUGUCUGACGGUUAUCCCUCUUCCUCCCCUUCUUCUCGGCAGCAUAUUCUCCACUCACCAGUGGUGUCUGCAUUUUGGUCAAAUCCUGUGAUGGCUCCCAUUUUACUUAGAGUUAUUCAAAAUUCUCAUAGAAACCUGGACACCCUUACAGGUCUUUCUCCCGUGUUUUUCUCGACCUCCUCCUUACACUCUGUCUCACACCUGGUUCCAUGUGCACUGGCCCUUGGCUUUGCCUGGGACAUGACACUGCUGCUUCCUGGGUUGGGGUGAUAUACACAAGACAUCUGCCUGGCUUACUCCUCCAUCUUUUCUCAAGCACUGCCUGAAACAGUCACUUGUGCAUGAGGGCACCCAUUACUCCCAGGAGAUGGUGCAUCCUCCCCUGGGUCCUGCUCAUCCGCUAACCCAGCUCUUUUUUUUCUUUCAUGGCACUUACCAUCAUGUACCACAUCGAAGAUUUUAUUUAUUAUUUGUUAUUGUCCAUCUUUCUUGACUAUAAUAUUGGCUCAGCAGAGGCAGAUCUUUGCGAUUCAUUUUCCCUGGUCCCUUUCAGAUACCAAGAACAAUGUGUGGCAGACAGUGAUGCUUGACCGGUGCCUACUGAAGCUGUGAGGAAAGGUGUCUGCACUUUCUGCAAGGUCAUUUCUAACCCUCAGCCAUUUUGUCCUAACUGAUUCUUUCCUUCUCCCUUCCAGGCUGCCAUGGUACAAAGUUAUCAGAAUUGAAAAAUAAUCAUAUUUUGGAGGCAAAACCCUUCUGAUUGGCAAAAAAUGACGUGCAGCCUUCUUCUCAGCUUCCUUCUCUCCCUUCGCAGACCUCAGUGUCCCUGUCUCCCUGUCACUGUCACCUGGUCUUGUCCAGGCCCCUGAGAAGUGUUUUCUCUACCCGGUUCUCGGUCUGUCUCUCUAAUUGCUUAAUCAUGACAAAUGGUUCCUAAUAGCUUUUAGUAAUUUGCACAUGUCACAGUUGUUUUUCUGGGAAAAUUUCCACUCCCCAUGCAGACACUGUCCCUGCACUUCCAGGGGAAAGGAUAAUGAGUCCCCAGCAGGGAGGUGACCUCAUUGUUUCCCAGCCUCAUCUCGGGGAUAAGAUGCCCCCUUUGCACUUGUGCUCAUGGCGUGACCAUGGUGGCUACUGUCCCAGCAAGCAACGGCAUUUGAGAAGUCAUGGUGGUUUCUCUCAGCACCAGCUGCGUCCUCAGUAGAUCCCAGGCCUUUAAGCUCUGCCCCAGUUUCUCUAGUUGGAUGGAGCCCAGAAUGUGAGCCCCAAAGUGCUUUGGAGUCUGCUGUUUCAUCUGCUGGAUCCUACAUCUCUUGUGGCUCCAUGGUCCUUGUCCUGCACAAGCACAAGCAGCAAGUCCACCACGUUCACCGCAACAGACUUUGCCCCAGACCCUCCCACAAGGCCAGAGCCACAAGCGCCAUCCUGACCCUGGUGAACAUGUUUGUCUUCUUGCACUCUCUAGCAGGUAUUCUAUCAUUUUGGAUGACCCACCUUGUGAAUCCACCCUACUGGCUGAAGAAAACCUCUGUCCUGGAGUCUUAGGCUUUCCAACAUUCAGCUCCUUGGUGUUCAUUUUCACUGAAACCCGUAUCUCGGAGUUGUGUUUUGUCUGCUGGACGAAGAACACAAGUGCUCCAAGCAUGGUCUGUGGGCCAUAAAUUCCCUCCAGAACAUCCUACUGUUUAUUGGAGUGCUUUUCUCAACCUUUGUGGGCUUAUAUGCAAGGACUUUCAGAUUCAGUAUUGAAUAAAAAUCAUAAUAACUAUGA